RNAcentral lists this ribosomal RNA (446 nucleotides) under uncultured bacterium. RNAcentral describes it as "bacterial SSU rRNA". It matches the Rfam family "Bacterial small subunit ribosomal RNA", at positions 330 to 792 of the family's 1533-position model. The record is from RNAcentral.
GCCAGACUCCUACGGGAGGCAGCAGUGGGGGAUAUUGCACAAAGGGGGCAACCCUGAUGCAGCGACGCCGCGUGAGCGAUGGAGUACUUCGGUAUGUAAAGCUCUGUCAGCAGGGAAGAGAAUGACGGUACCUGACCAAGAAGCCCCGGCUAAAUACGUGCCAGCAGCCGCGGUAAUACGUAUGGGGCAAGCGUUAUCCGGAUUUACUGGGUGUAAAGGGAGCGUAGGCGGCAGGGCAAGCCUGAUGUGAAAGCCCGGGGCUCAACCCCGGGACUGCAUUGGGAACUGCCCCGCUCGAGUGCCGGAGGGGCAGGCGGAAUUCCUAGUGUAGCGGUGAAAUGCGUAGAUAUUAGGAGGAACACCAGUGGCGAAGGCGGCCUGCUGGACGGUGUACUGACGCUGAGGCUCGAAAGCGUGGGGAGCAAACAGGAUUAGAUACCCGAGUA